This 468-nucleotide ribosomal RNA is filed under the name uncultured bacterium. RNAcentral describes it as "partial 16S ribosomal RNA". It matches the Rfam family "Bacterial small subunit ribosomal RNA", at positions 28 to 507 of the family's 1533-position model. The record is from RNAcentral.
GACGAACGCUGGCGGCGUGCUUAACACAUGCAAGUCGAACGGAAAGGCCCUGCUUUUGUGGGUUGCUCAAGUGGCAAACGGGUGAGUAACACGUGAGUAACCUGCCCUUGACUUUGGGAUAACUUCAGGAACCUGGGGCUAAUACCGGAUAGGGGCUCCUGCUGCAUGGUGGGGGUUGGAAAGUUUCGGCGGUUGGGGAUGGACUCGCGGCUUAUCAGCUUGUUGGUGGGGUAGUGGCUUACCAAGGCUUUGACGGGUAGCCGGCCUGAGAGGGUGACCGGCCACAUUGGGACUGAGAUACGGCCCAGACUCCUACGGGAGGCAGCAGUGGGGAAUAUUGCACAAUGGGCGGAAGCCUGAUGCAGCAACGCCGCGUGCGGGAUGACGGCCUUCGGGUUGUAAACCGCUUUCGCCUGUGACGAAGCGUGAGUGACGGUAAUGGGUAAAGAAGCACCGGCUAACUACGUG